RNAcentral lists this ribosomal RNA (506 nucleotides) under Aspergillus ruber. Its description in RNAcentral is "eukaryotic LSU rRNA". The stretch from base 177 to 330 matches the Rfam family "5.8S ribosomal RNA". The record is from RNAcentral. Lineage: Eukaryota; Fungi; Ascomycota; Eurotiomycetes; Eurotiales; Aspergillaceae.
CCUUCCGUAGGUGAACCUGCGGAAGGAUCAUUACCGAGUGCGGGCCCUCUGGGUCCAACCUCCCAUCCGUGUCUAUCUGUACCCUGUUGCUUCGGCGUGGCCACGGCCCGCCGGAGACUAACAUUUGAACGCUGUCUGAAGUUUGCAGUCUGAGUUUUUAGUUAAACAAUCGUUAAAACUUUCAACAACGGAUCUCUUGGUUCCGGCAUCGAUGAAGAACGCAGCGAAAUGCGAUAAUUAAUGUGAAUUGCAGAAUUCAGUGAAUCAUCGAGUCUUUGAACGCACAUUGCGCCCCCUGGUAUUCCGGGGGGCAUGCCUGUCCGAGCGUCAUUGCUGCCCUCAAGCACGGCUUGUGUGUUGGGCUUCCGUCCCUGGCAACGGGGACGGGCCCAAAAGGCAGUGGCGGCACCAUGUAUGGUCCUCGAGCGUAUGGGGCUUUGUCACCCGCUCCCGUAGGUCCAGCUGGCAGCUAGCCUCGCAACCAAUCUUUUUAACCAGGUUGACCU